RNAcentral lists this unclassified non-coding RNA (868 nucleotides) under Hevea brasiliensis (rubber tree). Lineage: Eukaryota; Viridiplantae; Streptophyta; Magnoliopsida; Malpighiales; Euphorbiaceae. The record is from RNAcentral.
AUGAAACAGAAAUGGAACUAAAACUUUGGAAAUAAUGUAAAUUUAAUGGCUUUUGCGGUUUCUUUUCUCCUUUUCCUGGUUUUGUCGUUGAUACCAUUGGAAAUUUCGGAGGGCACCCAUAAUCACUCUCUUCAACUCCAUAAUAGUGAGAAUUUCUAACUUGAUAAUUCAUGUUACAUUGGAAUAAACAAUACUUCACUUGAGAUUUUCAAUUUGUUUUCUGGGUGUUAGCUGUCAUCAGUACUGUUGUAUUGCAAUAUCAAAUAAGGUAUCAACCAAGCCACUGUUGAGCACGACGAUCCCCACNUGCCACCAACAGAAUGCCGAAUACUGAUUUUUUCACUUGCAUAUUUUUGUUGAAGCCAUUCAAAAGCAGUCACAUCAAGUUUCCCAUUUACUGAUUUCCCUUGCUUUCUACGAGUAUGCUGUUCCCGUAUAGAGGACCAAAGUUUCUCUAUUGCAUCCCUUUGUCGAGAUGUGAACCUUGCAACAUUAUCUAAGGCAUGCUUUACCAAAAUGUCUAUCACUGUCUGGCACCAUGGAGUUUUGUAACGGCGUGCAGCAAUCUCUAAACAAAUAAUCAAGGAUUCUCUCUGACCUUUGAGGAAGCUCUUAUUCCCUUCCUCCUCCUCCUUGCGCAUCUUGGCUAAUGUAUUUUUCUUUCCUUUUACCCUUUCAUCUUUCUUUGCGUUACUCAUAAAAGCAUUGAGCCCAAAUGGAUCAGACUCAUCCAUCUUAUUUUCUUCAGCUGAAGUACCUGAACAUAAAUCCUGCUUGUUUUCAUUGUCUUCAUUAGUUGUUCCUUUAUCAUCCUUUAGGGCUUCAGCUUCUUCCAUGUCAUCAUCCUCAGAUGCAACUGGAAGACUAC